AAUCGUACCCCAAACCGACACAGGUGGUCAGGUAGAGAAUACCAAGGCGCUUGAGAGAACUCGGGUGAAGGAACUAGGCAAAAUGGUGCCGUAACUUCGGGAGAAGGCACGCUGGCAUGUAGGUGAAGUCCCUUGCGGAUGGAGCUGAAGCCAGUCGAAGAUACCAGCUGGCUGCAACUGUUUAAUAAAAACACAGCACUGUGCAAACACGAAAGUGGACGUAUACGGUGUGACGCCUGCCCGGUGCUGGAAGGUUAAUUGAUGGGGUCAGCCGCAAGGCGAAGCUCUUGAUCGAAGCCCCAGUAAACGGCGGCCGUAACUAUAACGGUCCUAAGGUAGCGAAAUUCCUUGUCGGGUAAGUUCCGACCUGCACGAAUGGCGUAAUGAUGGCCAGGCUGUCUCCACCCGAGACUCAGUGAAAUUGAACUCGCUGUGAAGAUGCAGUGUACCCGCGGCAAGACGGAAAGACCCCGUGAACCUUUACUAUAGCUUGACACUGAACAUUGAGCCUUGAUGUGUAGGAUAGGUGGGAGGCUUUGAAGCGUGGACGCCAGUCUGCGUGGAGCCAUCCUUGAAAUACCACCCUUUAAUGUUUGAUGUUCUAACUCGGCCCCGUGAUCCGGGGUGAGGACAGUGUCUGGUGGGUAGUUUGACUGGGGCGGUCUCCUCCCAAAGAGUAACGGAGGAGCACGAAGGUUAGCUAAUCACGGUCGGACAUCGUGAGGUUAGUGCAAAGGCAUAAGCUAGCUUGACUGCGAGAGUGACGGCUCGAGCAGGUACGAAAGUAGGUCUUAGUGAUCCGGUGGUUCUGAAUGGAAGGGCCAUCGCUCAACGGAUAAAAGGUACUCCGGGGAUAACAGGCUGAUACCGCCCAAGAGUUCAUAUCGACGGCGGUGUUUGGCACCUCGAUGUCGGCUCAUCACAUCCUGGGGCUGAAGUAGGUCCCAAGGGUAUGGCUGUUCGCCAUUUAAAGUGGUACGCGAGCUGGGUUUAGAACGUCGUGAGACAGUUCGGUCCCUAUCUGCCGUGGGCGUUGGAAGAUUGAGAGGGGUUGCUCCUAGUACGAGAGGACCGGAGUGAACGCACCACUGGUGUUCGGGUUGUCAUGCCAAUGGCAUUGCCCGGUAGCUAAGUGCGGAAAAGAUAAGCGCUGAAAGCAUCUAAGCGCGAAACUUGCCUCAAGAUGAGUCUUCCCUGGGCCUUUAAGGCCCCUGAAGGAACGUUUAAGACUAAGACGUUGAUAGGCUGGGUGUGUAAGUGCAGCGAUGCAUUGAGCUAACCAGUACUAAUGAUCCGUGAGGCUUAACCUUACAACACCGAAGGUGUUUUAG
Molecule: ribosomal RNA, 1331 nt
Filed under: Serratia marcescens
Lineage: Bacteria; Pseudomonadati; Pseudomonadota; Gammaproteobacteria; Enterobacterales; Yersiniaceae
Description: bacterial LSU rRNA
Rfam family: Bacterial large subunit ribosomal RNA
Source: RNAcentral